Molecule: ribosomal RNA, 376 nt
Filed under: uncultured bacterium
Lineage: Bacteria
Description: bacterial SSU rRNA
Rfam family: Bacterial small subunit ribosomal RNA
Source: RNAcentral
AUACGAAGGGUGCAAGCGUUACUCGGAAUUACUGGGCGUAAAGCGUGCGUAGGUGGUGGUUUAAGUCCGUUGUGAAAGCCCUGGGCUCAACCUGGGAACUGCAGUGGAUACUGGAUCACUAGAGUGUGGCAGAGGGUAGUGGAAUUCCCGGUGUAGCAGUGAAAUGCGUAGAGAUCGGGAGGAACAUCAGUGGCGAAGGCGACUGCCUGGGCCAACACUGACACUGAGGCACGAAAGCGUGGGGAGCAAACAGGAUUAGAUACCCUGGUAGUCCACGCCCUAAACGAUGCGAACUGGAUGUUGGGUGCACUUUGGCACGCAGUAUCGAAGCUAACGCGUUAAGUUCGCCGCCUGGGGAGUACGGUCGCAAGACUGA